This 301-nucleotide ribosomal RNA is filed under the name uncultured bacterium. Its description in RNAcentral is "partial 16S ribosomal RNA". It matches the Rfam family "Bacterial small subunit ribosomal RNA", at positions 509 to 807 of the family's 1533-position model. The record is from RNAcentral.
CAGUAGCCGCGGGAAAACGUAGGGUGCAAGCGUUAAUCGGAAUUACUGGGCGUAAAGCGUGCGCAGGCGGUUUGUUAAGACAGAUGUGAAAUCCCCGGGCUCAACCUGGGAACUGCAUUUGUGACUGGCAAGCUAGAGUAUGGCAGAGGGGGGUGGAAUUCCGCGUGUAGCAGUGAAAUGCGUAGAUAUGCGGAGGAACACCGAUGGCGAAGGCAGCCCCCUGGGCCAAUACUGACGCUCAUGCACGAAAGCGUGGGGAGCAAACAGGAUUAGAUACCCCGGUAGUCCCUGUCUCUUAUAC